This 253-nucleotide ribosomal RNA is filed under the name uncultured bacterium. RNAcentral describes it as "partial 16S ribosomal RNA". It matches the Rfam family "Bacterial small subunit ribosomal RNA", at positions 524 to 776 of the family's 1533-position model. The record is from RNAcentral.
UACGUAGGGUGCAGGCGUUAAUCGGAAUUACUGGGCGUAAAGCGUGCGCAGGCGGUUUGCUAAGACAGGUGUGAAAUCCCCGGGCUUAACCUGUGAACUGCGCUUGUAACUGGCAAGCUAGAGUGUGGCAGAGGGGGGUGGAAUUCCACGUGUAGCAGUGAAAUGCGUAGAGAUGUGGAGGAACACCGAUGGCGAAGGCAGCCCCCUGGGCUAACACUGACGCUCAUGCACGAAAGCGUGGGGAGCAAACAGG